Molecule: long non-coding RNA, 262 nt
Filed under: Anser brachyrhynchus (Pink-footed goose)
Lineage: Eukaryota; Metazoa; Chordata; Aves; Anseriformes; Anatidae
Description: lncRNA (ENSABRG00000013628.1)
Source: RNAcentral
CCACAUCAGUGUAAAUCAGAUGUGCUCUGAAUUUCAACAACCAAAGAAGUGGCUCUAAAGCUGUUGACUUCAAAGAGAUCAUCCCACAGGAGAGUGUGUGCAGACAUCGCUGCCUGUCUGAGACUGAAAAUGUGCAUAUGCGUCAGUGCACGUGGAGGGUGAUAAAGGUGUUAUUGCUGUUGGUAUCACCACUAGCGGUUCCAGCCAAGAGUGCAUUUGCUUCUCUGCAUGUCCGUGGCAAGGUACAAGAUCUGUACUGAAG